RNAcentral lists this ribosomal RNA (372 nucleotides) under uncultured organism. Its description in RNAcentral is "bacterial SSU rRNA". It matches the Rfam family "Bacterial small subunit ribosomal RNA", at positions 526 to 896 of the family's 1533-position model. The record is from RNAcentral.
CAGAGGGUGCGAGCGUUGUCCGGAAUCACUGGGCGUAAAGGGCGCGUAGGUGGCGGGCCAAGUCCAUGGUGAAAGCUCGAUGCUCAACAUCGAGUCGGCCACGGAUACUGGUUCGCUCGAGCACUGUAGAGGCUAAUGGAAUUCCGGGUGUAGCGGUGGAAUGCGUAGAGAUCCGGAAGAACACCGGUGGCGAAGGCGGUUAGCUGGGCAGUUGCUGACACUGAGGCGCGACAGCGUGGGGAGCAAACAGGAUUAGAUACCCUGGUAGUCCACGCCGUAAACGAUGGGCACUAGAUGCUUGGGGGAGCGACCCCCUGAGUGUCGUCGCUAACGCAGUAAGUGCCCCGCCUGGGGAGUACGGCCGCAAGGCUG